UGAAUACGAGACGCUAAGGCGUCGAAGUAGUGUAUGUCAUACUUCCAAGAAAAGCUUGCACUGUCAUAAGUAAAAAAUGCCUGUACCACAACCGACACAGGUGGGUAGGUAGAGUAUACUAAGGGGCGCGAGAUAACUCUCUCUAAGGAACUCGGCAAAAUAACUCCGUAACUUCGGGAGAAGGAGUACCUUAUUCUAUAAGGUUGCAAUAACAAGAUCCAAGCAACUGUUUAUCAAAAACACAGGUCUCCGCUAAGUCGUAAGACGAUGUAUGGGGGCUGACGCCUGCCCAGUGCCAGAAGGUUAAAGAAGUCGGUUAGCAUUAGCGAAGCUGGUAACUGAAGCCCUGGUGAACGGCGGCCGUAACUAUAACGGUCCUAAGGUAGCGAAAUUCCUUGUCGGGUAAGUUCCGACCUGCACGAAAGGCGUAAUGAUUUGGAUACUGUCUCGGAGAGGGGCUCGGUGAAAUAGACCUGUCUGUGAAGAUGCGGACUACCUGCACCAGGACAGAAAGACUCUAUGAAGCUUUACUGUAACUUGAAAUUGAAAUUGGACUUUAUUCGCGCAGUAUAGGUGGGAGGUGUUGAUUAUAAUCUUGCGGGAUUAUUGGAGCCAUCAGUGAGAUACCACUCUCGUAAUGUUAGAUUUCUAACUUUGAAUCAUUAUCUGGUCAAAGGACAGUUUCAGGCGGGCAGUUUGACUGGGGCGGUCGCCUCCCAAACGGUAACGGAGGCGUACAAAGGUUUCCUCUGAACGGGUAGAAAUCGUAUCUAGAGUGUAAAGGCAUAAGGAAGCUUGACUGUGAGACCUACAAGUCGAACAGGGACGAAAGUCGGUCUUAGUGAUCUGACGGUACUGAGUGGAAAGGCCGUCACUCAACGGAUAAAAGUUACUCUAGGAUAACAGGCUGAUCUCCCCCAAGAGUUCACAUCGACGGGGAGGUUUGGCACCUGAUGUCGGCUCAUCGCAUCCUGGGGCGGUAGUACGUCCCAAGGGUUGGGCUGUUCGCCCAUGAAAGCGGUACGCGAGCUGGGUUCAGAACGUCGUGAGACAGUUCGGUCCAUAUCCGGUGUAGGCGUUAGAAUAUUGAGAGGAGCCUUCUUUAGUACGAGAGGACCGAGAAGGACAUACCUCUGGUGUACCAGUUAUCGUGCCAACGGUAAACGCUGGGUAGCUAUGUAUGGAGUGGAUAACCGCUGAAAGCAUCUAAGUGGGAAGCCCACCUCAAGAUAAG
Molecule: ribosomal RNA, 1234 nt
Filed under: metagenome
Description: bacterial LSU rRNA
Rfam family: Bacterial large subunit ribosomal RNA
Source: RNAcentral